This 634-nucleotide ribosomal RNA is filed under the name Escherichia coli. Its description in RNAcentral is "partial 23S ribosomal RNA". It matches the Rfam family "Bacterial large subunit ribosomal RNA", at positions 2053 to 2686 of the family's 2925-position model. Lineage: Bacteria; Pseudomonadati; Pseudomonadota; Gammaproteobacteria; Enterobacterales; Enterobacteriaceae. The record is from RNAcentral.
GUGAAGAUGCAGUGUACCCGCGGCAAGACGGAAAGACCCCGUGAACCUUUACUAUAGCUUGACACUGAACAUUGAGCCUUGAUGUGUAGGAUAGGUGGGAGGCUUUGAAGUGUGGACGCCAGUCUGCAUGGAGCCGACCUUGAAAUACCACCCUUUAAUGUUUGAUGUUCUAACGUUGACCCGUAAUCCGGGUUGCGGACAGUGUCUGGUGGGUAGUUUGACUGGGGCGGUCUCCUCCUAAAGAGUAACGGAGGAGCACGAAGGUUGGCUAAUCCUGGUCGGACAUCAGGAGGUUAGUGCAAUGGCAUAAGCCAGCUUGACUGCGAGCGUGACGGCGCGAGCAGGUGCGAAAGCAGGUCAUAGUGAUCCGGUGGUUCUGAAUGGAAGGGCCAUCGCUCAACGGAUAAAAGGUACUCCGGGGAUAACAGGCUGAUACCGCCCAAGAGUUCAUAUCGACGGCGGUGUUUGGCACCUCGAUGUCGGCUCAUCACAUCCUGGGGCUGAAGUAGGUCCCAAGGGUAUGGCUGUUCGCCAUUUAAAGUGGUACGCGAGCUGGGUUUAGAACGUCGUGAGACAGUUCGGUCCCUAUCUGCCGUGGGCGCUGGAGAACUGAGGGGGGCUGCUCCUAGUACGA